Molecule: non-coding RNA, 70 nt
Organism: Phrynosoma platyrhinos (Desert horned lizard)
Lineage: Eukaryota; Metazoa; Chordata; Lepidosauria; Squamata; Phrynosomatidae
Source: the annotation of a GenBank genome assembly
GCCAGUUUGGCAUAGUGGUGUGAGCAUUGGAUUACAACUCUGGAGACCAAGGUUCGAUUCCUGCUUGGCC